CAGGAUGAACGCUAGCGGCAGGCUUAACACAUGCAAGUCGAGGGGCAUCGGGAGUAGCAAUACUGCCGGCGACCGGCGCAAGGGUGCGUAACGCGUGAGCAACAUGCCCGUAUCAGGGGGAUAAUCCAUGGAAACGUGGUCUAAUACCCCAUAGUAAUUAUGUAAGGCAUCUUAUAUAAUUUAAAGCUUUGGUGGAUACGGAUUGGCUCGCGUGACAUUAGCUAGAUGGUAAGGUAACGGCUUACCAUGGCUACGAUGUCUAGGGGUUCUGAGAGGAAGGUCCCCCCACACUGGAACUGAGACACGGUCCAGACUCCUACGGGAGGCAGCAGUGAGGAAUAUUGGACAAUGGAUGGAAAUCUGAUCCAGCCAUGCCGCGUGCAAGGAAGACGGCCCUAUGGGUUGUAAACUGCUUUUGUAUGGGAGCAAUAAGGGCUACGCGUAGUCCGAUGAGAGUACCAUACGAAUAAGCACCGGCUAACUCCGUGCCAGCCGCGGC
This 499-nucleotide ribosomal RNA is filed under the name uncultured bacterium. Its description in RNAcentral is "bacterial SSU rRNA". It matches the Rfam family "Bacterial small subunit ribosomal RNA", at positions 25 to 518 of the family's 1533-position model. The record is from RNAcentral.